GAUGAACGCUGGCGGCGUGCCUAAUACAUGCAAGUCGAGCGAACAGACGAGGAGCUUGCUCCUCUGACGUUAGCGGCGGACGGGUGAGUAACACGUGGGUAACCUACCUAUAAGACUGGGAUAACUUCGGGAAACCGGAGCUAAUACCGGAUAACAUGUUGAACCGCAUGGUUCAACAGUGAAAGACGGUCUUGCUGUCACUUAUAGAUGGAUCCGCGCCGCAUUAGCUAGUUGGUAAGGUAACGGCUUACCAAGGCAACGAUGCGUAGCCGACCUGAGAGGGUGAUCGGCCACACUGGAACUGAGACACGGUCCAGACUCCUACGGGAGGCAGCAGUAGGGAAUCUUCCGCAAUGGGCGAAAGCCUGACGGAGCAACGCCGCGUGAGUGAAGAAGGUCUUCGGAUCGUAAAACUCUGUUAUUAGGGAAGAACAAAUGUGUAAGUAACUAUGCACGUCUUGACGGUACCUAAUCAGAAAGCCACGGCUAACUACGUG
Molecule: ribosomal RNA, 497 nt
Filed under: uncultured bacterium
Lineage: Bacteria
Description: partial 16S ribosomal RNA
Rfam family: Bacterial small subunit ribosomal RNA
Source: RNAcentral